Molecule: ribosomal RNA, 114 nt
Filed under: Salvia splendens (bonfire salvia)
Lineage: Eukaryota; Viridiplantae; Streptophyta; Magnoliopsida; Lamiales; Lamiaceae
Source: RNAcentral
GCGAUCAUACCAGCACUAAUGCACCGGAUCCCAUCAGAACUCCGAAGUUAAGCGUGCUUGGGCGAGAGUAGUACUAGGAUGGGUGACCCUCGGGGAAGUCCUCGUGUUGCACCA